Molecule: ribosomal RNA, 964 nt
Filed under: uncultured bacterium
Lineage: Bacteria
Description: bacterial SSU rRNA
Rfam family: Bacterial small subunit ribosomal RNA
Source: RNAcentral
AUACGUAGGGUGCAAGCGUUAUCCGGAAUUAUUGGGCGUAAAGGGCUCGUAGGCGGUUCGUCGCGUCCGGUGUGAAAGUCCAUCGCUUAACGGUGGAUCUGCGCCGGGUACGGGCGGGCUGGAGUGCGGUAGGGGAGACUGGAAUUCCCGGUGUAACGGUGGAAUGUGUAGAUAUCGGGGAGAACACCAAUGGCGAAGGCAGGUCUCUGGGCCGUUACUGACGCUGAGGAGCGAAAGCGUGGGGAGCGAACAGGAUUAGAUACCCUGGUAGUCCACGCCGUAAACGGUGGAUGCUGGAUGUGGGGCCCGUUCCACGGGUUCCGUGUCGGAGCUAACGCGUUAAGCAUCCCGCCCGGGGAGUACGGCCGCAAGGCUAAAACUCAAAGAAAUUGACGGGGGCCCGCACAAGCGGCGGAGCAUGCGGAUUAAUUCGAUGCAACGCGAAGAACCUUACCUGGGCUUGACAUGUUCCCGACCGCGGCAGAGAUGUCGUUUCCCUUCGGGGCGGGUUCACAGGUGGUGCAUGGUCGUCGUCAGCUCGUGUCGUGAGAUGUUGGGUUAAGUCCCGCAACGAGCGCAACCCUCGCCCUGUGUUGCCAGCACGUCAUGGUGGGAACUCACGGGGGACCGCCGGGGUCAACUCGGAGGAAGGUGGGGAUGACGUCAGAUCAUCAUGCCCCUUACGUCCAGGGCUUCACGCAUGCUACAAUGGCCGGUACAACGGGAUGCGACACGGCGACGUGGAGCGGAUCCCUGAAAACCGGUCUCAGUUCGGAUUGGAGUCUGCAACCCGACUCCAUGAAGGCGGAGUCGCUAGUAAUCGCGGAUCAGCAACGCCGCGGUGAAUGCGUUCCCGGGCCUUGUACACACCGCCCGUCAAGUCAUGAAAGUGGGUAGCACCCGAAGCCGGUGGCCUAACCCUUUGUGGAUGGAGCCGUCUAAGGUGAGACUCGUGAUUGGGACU